GAUAAAACGCUGGCGGCGUGCCUAACACAUGCAAGUCGAACGAUCCCGCAAGGGAGAGUGGCGGAAGGGUGAGUAACACGUGGGAAUCUACCUCCUCGCAGGGAACAACCUCUCGAAAGAGAGGCUAAUACCCAAAAGGGUCAGAAAUGAUCAGAGUCGAAAGGCGAGAGGAGAGGAGCCCGCGGCCCAUCAGCUAGUUGGUGAGGUAAUGGCUUACCAAGGCUACGACGGGUAGGGGAGUCUGAGAGGAUGUCCCCCACACUGGAACUGAAACACGUCCAGACGCCUACGGGUGGCAGCAGUGAGGAAUAUUGGACAAUGGGCGAAAGCCCGAUCCAGCAACGCCGCGUGGAGGAUGAAGGCCUUCGGUC
Molecule: ribosomal RNA, 371 nt
Filed under: uncultured bacterium
Lineage: Bacteria
Description: bacterial SSU rRNA
Rfam family: Bacterial small subunit ribosomal RNA
Source: RNAcentral